CAUGGACAAUGCGUUCGACAUCAGCAAUCUGCGGCACUCUUUGGCCCAACGAAAGAGAGAUACAGAGAUUGAACUCAAAAGGAUUAACAGGCUCAAAGACAAAUUCAAGGUAAUACAUCAGCAACUUAGUUCGUGUC
Long non-coding RNA from Hibiscus syriacus, 137 nucleotides. RefSeq lists it as uncharacterized. The record is from RefSeq and is a predicted model, not a curated record. NCBI's taxonomy places the organism in Eukaryota, Viridiplantae, Streptophyta, Magnoliopsida, Malvales, Malvaceae. The transcript has 2 exons.